UACGAAGGGUGCAAGCGUUAGUCGGAAUUACUGGGCGUAAAGCGUGCGUAGGCGGUCUCUUAAGUCCGUUGUGAAAGCCCUGGGCUCAACCUGGGAACUGCAGUGGAUACUGAGAAGCUAGAGUGUGUCAGAGGAUGGUGGAAUUCCCGGUGUAGCGGUGGAAUGCGUAGAGAUCCGGAAGAACACCAGUGGCGAAGGCGGCCCGCUGGGCAGUGGCUGACGCUGAAGCGCGACAGCGUGGGGAGCAAACAGG
RNAcentral lists this ribosomal RNA (253 nucleotides) under uncultured bacterium. RNAcentral describes it as "partial 16S ribosomal RNA". It matches the Rfam family "Bacterial small subunit ribosomal RNA", at positions 524 to 776 of the family's 1533-position model. The record is from RNAcentral.